UAUUUUCUUAAGUGUUAAAUCUAUGUGGCAUGGCACCCCACACCUUACACACACUCACACCCGCACACACACACCUGACGCACACAACACACAGCAGAUGCUCCUGCCGCCGCCGCCGAUGACGUCGCCGGAGCGGCGUCUCCGCCUCUCCCUUCGUCGACUCUGAAGAGAUCAACAUUUUGUUUCAAUUGGAAAAAUAUUGUGCAGUUUGGUUUCAAUUUCACUGCUUGUUUUUUUCAUUGCAUUGUUUACAAUUUUAUGAAUGUGAAAUCUUUGGAGGCGUUCUCGUUUAUUUGUGGAGAAUUGUGGAAGUAAUAGAAUAACUUGUAAUAAUGGAGAUCGGGAUCUUUGUUUGGCUGAUGUUGUUGCUUGAGUAGAUCUAGUGCUUUAGUGCAAGCACCAGAAAGUAACUUUUAAUAAAAGAACGAACAAAUAAAUAUCUUUUUGGUGAGAAUCUGGUUGAGAUUCGGGUGGCUCUUACAGAUAUCCGUAGGAAAGAAUGACAAGGGCCUUAAGCUGUAUGAUCUGGGGCUCCUGUGCGAUCUUGAAGCUUAAAAAAUUUCCGUCGACUCUGAUUUGGGGAGCUCCUUUAUCGCCGAAAAAAGAGGAAGAGAGGGGCGGGUUAUCGGCGAAAAAGAAGGCUCCGAUUUCGGGCGACUGAUUCGGAGAUAAGAGCAUCGGUAACGGGCUACUCGAUGCCCCUUACUCGAGUAGCCCAAGCAUCGAGUAGCCCGUUGCAGAGCUUGCCUACUCGAAGGUUACUCGUUUGUUCGAGUAUACAUGAGAAUCACCCAUUUUCUCUCUCUUUUUUUUUUCUUUGAAAUUAGAUAUUUUAAUGUUAGUUUUAAAUAUAUUUUUUAGGAUUUAAGUAAUUUUUAAUGUGUCUUUAGGUGUUUUUUGGUGUAAUAUUUAGG
This 914-nucleotide long non-coding RNA is filed under the name Salvia miltiorrhiza (redroot sage). Its description in RNAcentral is "long non-coding RNA (SMIL_LNC011432)". The record is from RNAcentral. Lineage: Eukaryota; Viridiplantae; Streptophyta; Magnoliopsida; Lamiales; Lamiaceae.